CAGGCUCCUGCGGUGGCUGGGCUCGCAGAGCAUCUCUGGGGAUGCAGCGCCAGGCUUCCCAGAAAGCUCGCUAUCGCUUUCUAUUUCAGACCACAUCAGCUGAUGAACCAGGACCAGCCCAGGCACCCUGAGGGAGAGGAAGAGACCAGGAGGGAGGCUGGCUCCGACCCUGGCACCACAUAGCACCGCUGCGGAGUAAAACCAGGAUUUAUAGGUCUCGUUGCCUGUCGGUGAGGCUGUGAAGGCUCUGGAGGAGCUGCUCUUCCUGCGGGGAGCAAAGGAGAGAUGCGCUCUGAGCCUGCAGUGGCCGGAUCGGCAGGGAAAAGCACAUUUCUCUGGCACUCCCACUAGCAGCCCAGGUCCCAGGUGAGGGCACAUCCAGCCUCUCCUCCCCAGCCUCCUGCCCUGAUGUGGGGACAUCUCCUAGGGACACAGCCCGUGGGGCUCCAGCUGGGGUGGGCACGGGGUGUGUGGGUCUGCCGUGGCCUCGUGUCCUGCUCCACGACCCCAGGACAUGAAGGACGGCUCCAGGCUCUCCGUCUGCAGAUCCCAGUAACCUCAGCCCUGCGAGGACACCUUUGGUGUUGAGGGUGAGGGUUCCUUGGCCUGGGCUGGGGCAGGGACAUAUUUCCUAACCCCCCCUCAGCCUGCAAAGCACUGGCCAAACGCCCACGGGCAGCUCGUGGGAUCGCCCUGCCCUGCCUUCCCUCCGACCGGUUCCCUGAUAACCCUGCCCACAGCAGCUCCCAGCCAGCCACUAACCAUUCCUCCUCCUCCUCCUGCAGCCUCCCAGCCUUGGCACACACCGACACCCCCUCCAAAACCCCGCUUGGCGCUGCACCGGCAGCCACAACACCGACAAAGCCCCAGCACCCCGGCUCCCCUCCUGCAGCUGAAGGGGAACCGGGGCUAAAUGCUGGCAGAAAAAUAAAUUCCCCCAUUUUGCAGGGGGGACAUGGGGGGGCAGCCAGCAGCCCCCUGGCAAUGCCCACCCGGAGCCGUGCCGCAGCCCGCGGGCACGGGGCGAUGGCACGUCCCGCUCCCGGCGGCAGGGCUCGCGCGGCCCCCGCAGCUCUCCCAUCUAUACAAAUUCGUUAAUAAAAGAUCAGUUUGCAGACGCAGCUUGCUGUAGAUGACAGCAUUAGAGGCGCAUCUGCUUCUGCUAAGCACCAGUCUCGUGCUGGGUUUAUUCGGUCCAUUUGCGGCAGGGAAGAGUUGCUUUCGGCAUUCAGAGCUGUCUCGUGUCUGGGAGAGGUGGGGGGGGGGGGGGAGAGAUGUAUUUUCGGCUCUAUUUAGCCACAAAAAUUUGGUUUCGGAAUAAAGAAAAAUAAUUCCUGUUUGCUGCCAAACCGAGGCAGGCGAUCUCUGUGCAAGCCUCCAUUUGUCUGAGCACUCGGUGUCCUGGUGGAAAAAUAAAGGUUCUGAUGGGAAAAG
Oxyura jamaicensis (ruddy duck) is the source of this 1434-nucleotide long non-coding RNA. RefSeq lists it as uncharacterized. The transcript is spliced from 3 exons. The record is from RefSeq and is a predicted model, not a curated record. NCBI's taxonomy places the organism in Eukaryota, Metazoa, Chordata, Aves, Anseriformes, Anatidae.